Molecule: long non-coding RNA, 2431 nt
Organism: Passer domesticus (house sparrow)
Lineage: Eukaryota; Metazoa; Chordata; Aves; Passeriformes; Passeridae
Exons: 2
Source: RefSeq, a predicted model, not a curated record
CGGCCCCGGCCCCGGCCCCGCGCCGCGCCGCCUGCAGGCACUGCCGCCCAGGCCCGCCGGAAUCCUCGAGGUGCGAAGGCGCCCGCGGGCGGCCCCGCACGGAGGAGUAGCGCGGGAGCGGCCUCAGAGGCCGCAGGCCCGGAAGGAGGGAAUGCCGCUCCCCAGAGGGGUGCUCCGAGAGAUGGGCUGGGAGCAGGCUCAGGGCUUGGGCUGCGUGACCCAUCUCUCCAAGGAGAAACUUGACGUGGAGCAACUGGCAAGGCUGGGGUCCAGCACCAGUUAAUGGACUAAGGAGUGUGCCCAAUGUGUGGCCUUUCCCACCUGAUCCCCUCACAAGACCAGCAUGAGCUUUGGUUUUGAGUGACCUCAGCAUCCUUUGAUGCCAGCACAAGAGCCUCCCUCAGCCUUUCUGGAAAACAAGAUUAAAUCCUGAGUUUUGCUGUUUCCAAAUCCCCCUGGGCUCAGGUUGUAACUUCUGUGAGUGCAGCUGUGCAGAGCUGGGGUCAGAUAUUACCUGGAACACAACAUUGCUGCCAGCACCCAUCACUGUAGACAGUCUUUGGGAUAAUUCUCUUCUGAUUUGAAGAAAUAAUAAUAGUAGUAGUAAUAGUAGUAGUGAUGAUGAUGAUGAUGAUGAUAAUAAUAUUAAUCUGACAUUUUAUCAUUUACAAGUAGGGAUGAUUGUGGCAGUCUUACCUGGAAAAACUCCACUGGGCUCAGGAUACUUCCAUACCUCACUGCCCAGAUGGAGCCUGCCUCCUUUCAGGGAGCUCAGCCAGCCCUGCACCAGCAUGCAUCCUUACCUGCAUCCUUACCUGCAACGUGCUGUGUGGAUGCUACUGCCCACCACAUGCACAAGCAUCCACUGUGGCCCUGAUUUACAGGUGUUCCCCACCCUGAAAGAGAAACUCAUUACUGUUAUGUACUUCCCUUGAAACCAAUGUUACCUGGAAUCAGGAAAAGCAAAAUGCAAACAAAGGUGGUUGCUCACAGCGUCAGCCAUACCCAGGUGGGUGGUUGUGACUUGUAUCAUGUUCCCUGUGUCACUGGUGCAGUGACUUUGCUCUGGCAGCCCCUGAGUGCAGCUCUGUGAGGAACAGCAAGAAAUGAGCUGCCACCAGGGGCAGGGGACCUCAAACGUCACAUGCCACUCACAAAUGUCACUGACUUUUUCAAGCUCAUAUUUUGCAGCAGAAGGUGCAGCCUCCCCCAAGAGCACUGGGUUGAGAGGCUCUGCAGCUCUGUGCCGUGCCUGCAGACAGUGCCAAAGGCACUGUGUCCUGGCCAGGAGCCCCAGAGACUUCCAAUCCCUGCUUAAGAUGCAGCAGCAGUAUGGAUUGCCCGGGCAAACCUCGGGGCUGCAGCACUUUGGCCAGGCGGGUGCAUGUGCCCAGCUGGCACACGCAGGUCUGGGCAAUCCUCAGGCAUCCACAAGCACAGUGCUGGGUAUGCCACCACAGGGACAUGCCCUGGCAGCUGCAGGGACAGCUUUGGCAGCAGAAAGGACAGAGUCCCUCAAGGCUGAAGAAAUGCCAAGUGUUUCCAAGCUAGUCUCAUUCCCUUACAGAGAGGGAUGCUCCAGAUAUGCGUGCAGGGCAGGCUGGGUUUCUACAAGGGCAGGCAGAAUGAGAGGUGUCCCCUCUGACUGAUCUCCCACCCUGUGACACAAACCCAGGGGACAAAGGUUUCUCUGUGGUAGCAGCUCUCACCUGGGAUCAGGGCAGGUUUUGGAAGCUGGCUGAAGAGACAGGCAGCUAACUGCUGUUAGCCAUAGGCACCUUGUGGUAGAGGGAUGCAGGGUUCUUUCCAACUCAGUAAAUUUGUCUCAGCUGCUGAUGUAGGAACCCCUGGCUUGUUGGGCCUUCCAUAUGUUUGCACAUUUCAGAGCAUCCUUCUCUUGUCCAGUUCUGGGGAGGCUGGUGUGUCUCCACUGGUCUCCUUACAAGCCAGUUGCAUUGUUGGAGCUGUGGAGCUUUUACAUAAAGAGUAGUCUUGCCAGGCUGUGACGUUUGUCCUAGCAUAAGCAUCCCUCAUCUCCUUUCUACUGGGCAUCUAAUCCCAUGCCAAUGAAUGGCCACACAGCACCAGGUCCAGGCUGGAGGGGAAUCUUGGCUCUCAUUGCCACCAAGGUGCUCUGUCUGACGUCCAUCCUGGUUUUCCAAAUGAAGGUCAGAAGGAACUAAGGACCAGGAGCUCCAGUUCUCCCAUCCAUCUUUGAUGAUUCAUUUGUAAGCGAGGCAGAAGGGUACAUUUGUCCAGAAGCUGUCCUGCAGACUUUACAGUGGACACACACAAUAGUUUCUGAAUGGACCAUAAAUAAGACAUGUUAAGAUGUACACCAGCACACAGUGCUGGUUUUACUGUGUACUUCUUCUCUAGAUGCAGAGUUCAGUAGAGAUUGCUUAUGCUGAUAAAAACAUGGGCAAAAUGA